RNAcentral lists this ribosomal RNA (587 nucleotides) under uncultured bacterium. Its description in RNAcentral is "bacterial SSU rRNA". It matches the Rfam family "Bacterial small subunit ribosomal RNA", at positions 338 to 916 of the family's 1533-position model. The record is from RNAcentral.
CCUACGGGAGGCAGCAGUGGGGAAUUUUGGACAAUGGGGGAAACCCUGAUCCAGCCAUCCCGCGUGAGUGAAGAAGGCCUUCGGGUUGUAAAGCUCUUUCGAAAGUGAAGAAAACUUAUUUCGUAAUAUGUUAUAAGUAUGACGGUAACUUUAGAAGAAGCACCGGCUAACUACGUGCCAGCAGCCGCGGUAAUACGUAGGGUGCGAGCGUUAAUCGGAAUUACUGGGCGUAAAGCGUGCGCAGGCGGUUUUGUAAGUCAGAUGUGAAAUCCCCGAGCUUAACUUGGGAACUGCGUUUGAAACUACAAGACUAGAGUGUGUCAGAGGGGGGUAGAAUUCCACGUGUAGCAGUGAAAUGCGUAGAGAUGUGGAGGAAUACCAAUGGCGAAGGCAGCCCCCUGGGAUAACACUGACGCUCAUGCACGAAAGCGUGGGGAGCGAACAGGAUUAGAUACCCUGGUAGUCCACGCCCUAAACGAUGUCAACUAGUUGUUGGUGGAGUAAGAUCCAUGAGUAACGUAGCUAACGCGUGAAGUUGACCGCCUGGGGAGUACGGUCGCAAGAUUAAAACUCAAAGGAAUUGACGG